CAAGGAAUUUUCGGCAAUGGGCGCAAGCCUGACCGAGCAACGCCGCGUGCGGGAUGACGGCCUUCGGGUUGUAAACCGCUUUUCGGGAGGACGAUUGUGACGGUACUCCCGGAAUCAGGCUCGGCUAACUCUGUGCCAGCAGCCGCGGUAAGACAGAGGAGCCAAGCGUUGUCCGGAUUGACUGGGCGUAAAGCGUACGCAGGCGGCUGGGCGCGUGGGGUGUGAAAGCCGGCGGCUUAACUGCCGGAGGCCACCUCAUACGGCCUGGCUCGAGCCCGGGAGAGGUCCGUGGAAUUGCCGGUGUAGUGGUGAAAUGCGUAGAGAUCGGCAGGAACACCAAGGGAGAAAUCAGCGGACUGGCCCGGUGCUGACGCUCAGGUACGAAAGCGUGGGGAGCGAACUGG
This 404-nucleotide ribosomal RNA is filed under the name uncultured bacterium. RNAcentral describes it as "bacterial SSU rRNA". It matches the Rfam family "Bacterial small subunit ribosomal RNA", at positions 355 to 776 of the family's 1533-position model. The record is from RNAcentral.